Molecule: long non-coding RNA, 4701 nt
Filed under: Triticum aestivum (bread wheat)
Lineage: Eukaryota; Viridiplantae; Streptophyta; Magnoliopsida; Poales; Poaceae
Description: long non-coding RNA (TAES_LNC014129)
Source: RNAcentral
UAAUUAGACUACAAUAGUAGAUCCAUUAGUAGUGCGCAGCGACGGCCUGAAAGAUAGUAUAAUGUUCAGCACCUAUCUGAUAUCAGGCCAAGUUCGCAGACAGUGAGUGGUGUAGUACUGCGCUUCUCUGCCGCUCUGCGUGCAAGCACUUGUCUGAUGAUGUAUCCAGCCAGUAAUCUUGAAUUAAUAAUAACCUGCAUCUGUACAACUCAGUUCACCUGCCAUCACCCAUCUUACAUUUUCUUGUUGGUGGUUAUCGUCUGAAAUGUGCCACUGGCAGAGCAAUACCCAACAUCGCGCAUGCGGGAUCCCCGGAGAGGGCUGCCAGAGGUUAGUAAUGAACAAGAUGACAUGGGAUGAAUCAAAAACUCCAUCAAUCAGAUUCAGUAUAAAAUAUUGAAAUUACUACUCCAUCAAUCAAAUUCAGUAAUGAACAGAAACUGUAAGCAGGAGGAAGUGGAGCAAAUGUCACCUGCGAUUUAUCCUUAUAUCAAACUGUGAAUUUUUAAUCUCAAACUCUGGUGGUCGCACAAGCCAAAAUAUGUAGCUCUCCUUAUGCGUUACCAUCAUGAGGAGAAUAAGAGAAACCACCAAUACCUGUCAGAGUUAGAGUAAAGUUAAUUCUUGGUUUGAUUGAUUUACUUUUCUAGAUGAGACAUAGUUAAUUCUUGUUUGGACGAGAGCUAGCUGCAAUGGAUUGUCGCUUAAUAUUAUCUCUAAAAGUUAACAUUUGUAUGCUGUUACAACUAUGGAAUGAUUAAAUUAAAGCUAUAUUCUGUAAUUGCAUAGUAUUCAUUCGUUCGGAAAUACUUGACGUUGAUUUAGUACAGGUUGUGCAAGAUUACCUAUGAAUUUUAAACUCCUAUUCCAAAAAUAGUAAAUCUACUUCGUCGAUGCUACUCCCUCUGUCCCGAAUUAAUUGUUCUAAAACGGAUAUAAAUGGAUGUAUAUGUAUCUAGAUACAUCCAUUUAUACGACAAAAAAUUCAAAACGAUGGGAGUAUUACUUAAGGAAAGCUACUCUCUCUCUCUCUCUCUCUCUUACAAAAUCAAGAAACUCUAUUGUCCCAAAAAUAUAUUUUCCAUAAAAAAACACUUGCUCUUCACAAUUACUCCCUCCGUCCCAUAAUAUAAGAACGUUUUUUAGAAUUUUCGUCAAAAAGAACCACCUGCCCAGUGAAAUUGUCAAAAAAGACCGCCUACGAGCGAAAAUGUCAAAAAGGACCACCUGCACCGUGGCGGCAGGUGCGCCAGCCGACACGUGGCACCUGCCGCCACGGGAUCUGGCGGCAGCACCUGCCGCAACUGGCUCGACCGGCAGCCUCAGCUGCACAGAAUUUCGGUCGAUGGCACACACAAGAACGGAACGGGCUGGCGAUGUGGCACCUGCCGCCACGCUCCCUGGCGGCAGCUUGUGCUGCUUUUCACGCCAAACGGCACGUCCGUUGGUUCUUAGUGUGGCAGACGCAUUGCUGGCCGUGGUGCCUCUGUCGUUUUGUUUUCUGUGCACCCAUCUCUCUCUCGUUGCCCUGUGCUAUGUGGAGUCAUCUGGAUUAAUCCUAAAUACAGGACUGACCGACUGAGGUGUUUAGUCUAACUCAAUCAACAGAAAAGGCAUCUGGCCAGUGCAUCUCGACUAGCAAAGCGUCUGCCACCUAUGGCCCAACAGAAAAGCAGCACAGGCUGCUGCCAGAGAGCGGGGCGGCAGGUGCCAUGUCGCCAGCCCGUUCCGUUUUCGCAUGCGUCGUCGGUCAAAAUUCUGUGCAGCUGAGGCUGCCGCCUAAGCCGGUGGCGGCAGGUGCUGCCGCCGGAUCCUGUGGCGGCAGGUGCCACGUGUCGGCUGGCGCACCUGCCGCCACGGUGUAGGUGGUCUUUUUUGACAUUUUUGUCCAUGGGUGGUCUUUUUUGACAUUUUCACUGGUCAAGGGGUCCUUUUUGUCAAAAAUUCCGUUUUUUACACUAGUGUAGUGUCAAAAACACUCUUAUAUUAUGGGACGGAGAGAGUACAUCUAAGUUACCUCAAGACGGCAUCACAAAAUACAAUAAACAAGAUGUUUCGCAUAUAGAUUUUUAAAAAUAAAUAAAUAAACCUACCAUACACGCAACUACACCCACGUGGAAAAACCAAAAACACAAAAAUGCUUUCUCCACCUCACAACUAGAGUGGAAGAAAACACCUUCUCUCUUGACAUAUGACCAUGCGACAAUCAUCACCCCACCUAUGAAUAUCAUCAUCAAAAUGUAUACUCGACACGGCAAAAAUAUAUAUAUGACCCACCGGGGUAGAUGGUAUGACAUUUUGGAACAAGUAUUAGCAAAACCUGUUUUAAGAGGAUUUUUAGGAAAACUAGUUCUAAAUUGUUGCUAUGUUAAAGCUGAUUUAUAGGAUACCUUGUUUGGACUUGAAAAGUUCAGAUAGUACUGAUGUAAAUCGAUUUUCGUCUCUGAGUUCCUUUCGUCCGUGAUCUCUCUUCCUCGACGAGCACACAUGCAUGCACGUGAACUCCAUGGUACUAAAAUGCGGCAAGCACGGUGAUGCUCUUGAGCACGCGUUAUCUCUUUUAUGGUGUGGCUGCAAUAGCAUUAGCAACACAUACAGCGAGGGCUCGCCAAAGGCGGAUGUGGCGACGGCGACCAUGGGCAAGGCCCGGCAGCGGUGGCCAUGGAGAGGGUUGACGACCAUGGCCGAGGGCCUGCAGUGCGGAGGGCAGAAGCGGCAACAGCGACUAUGGCCGAGGGCCGGCAGCGACGGAGAGCGGAAGAGGCAACAACGACUAUAAGUACUGCCCAAAUCGUCUAACACCACAGUCGGCUCUCACGGCGUCUCAGGCCGUCACGUACACACAAUAAAUAUCCCCUGAACCACCACAGCUAAUACUGCAUACGUCCCACAUCCCGAGCCAAACGAACGCACGACGAUACAGAGAGUGCGCGAGCUCGUCCACGCCAAGCAAUCUUCGUUAGCAAUAUAAGUUAAUUUAUUCGGAAGCAGCGAUUCGGUGCCCAACCUCUUCUACAGCCGCAAUGAAUAAAGAAUACAAAACAAAUAGUAGAAAAUUCAAAAAAUCUAUUUUUUUUUAUUUUUGCAUCGUGGAUAAUUUGGUAUUGUAAAUUUAGGCUCUGUAAAAAGUUUACCGUUUAUGUAUUUGUUCUGACCCAUUUUCCUUUUUUGCUGAUAGCUACUCAUAAGGCCAAAUAGUAUGAAAUUUGGGGAGCACCGCACACACCAAAUUAUGUACCAUGAUUUUUUUGGGGGAUUUUUAUGGUUUUUUCUUGACCGGGUGCACGUGAUUCUUGGCUCACAAAUCGAUAUUUGAAUUUAUCCCGGCUUUUCUCUCUUUUCCUUGGCGGGCUGGUGGCGAAGUGUCCACAGGGGUAAACCGAAUAGUACUAGCACUAGCAGUCUUUUUUUUUGAGAAAAGAAAACCACUAGCAGUCUCGCGGCGAAAAGUAGCGAACCUCUCGCGGAGUUUGCCGGGUUGGCGGAAAACUGGGAGCGCCAAAACGGAGGGCACACUGCACUCGCCCACAUGCUCUUCUUGGUGUAGUGUUAUCCUACGCACGCUCCCUGCCUCCUCUUAUCCAGUUGCAGUGGAGUGCAGUGCACGUGAGAUGGCUUUUAUACUGUGACCAACGAGCGGCGCCACCUGUGCUCUGCCCGCCCGCCGGUAUAGCCAGCUCGCCUGAACCACCGCCCAGAAGGCCAAAACCACGGUCUCGCUUGCCCUCCCACCGUAUCAAAUCGUCUUCUUGCGCGCACGCCGGUUGCCGGUUUCCUGCAACCUAUAUAAAUCCGGCCAGACCACAUUUCCUAUCCAUCUCACUCACACUGUCACACUGUCUCACUACUACUGCUGAUACUUCACUGCUACUACCAGUUCACUUCCUUGGGAUCUCGGCCAACAUGUCGACGGUGACCCGCGCCUACCUCGACCAGAGGCUCGCCGCCGCCAACCGCUGCUCCAGAGGUACUAACCAACGACGACUGGUUCCGGCCUCAGCCCAGCACUGCUCGUAUAUCCAAUUCAUUGCAGCUUAUGUGUCUGCUGAAACUGAUCUUGAUUAACAUUCCUAUGUUGAUCCGAAACUGCAGAGGCUGCCAUGGCCGGAGCCAAGGCCGCGGCAGUCGCCGCCGUCGCUGCCGCAGUCCCCACCGUAAGUACACGUUUCUCGGCUGGCGCCGCUAUCUUGCAAGCAUCCCCAAGAUACAACAAUCAUGCAUCUCACUGUCUUCUUCCCCCGUGCCUUUCUCUGCAGCUAGCGAGCGUGAGGAUGCUGCCGUGGGCGAGGGCGCACCUCAACCCGACCGGGCAGGCGCUCAUCAUCUCCACCGUCGCCGGGAUGGCCUACUUCAUCGUCGCCGACAAGACCAUCCUCUCCAUGGCCAGAAAGCACUCCUUCGAGGACGCGCCGGACCACCUCAAGAACACCUCCUUCAACUAAUUAGGCUAUAAUCUGCACGCCGGCCUGGAAGUAUUAUAAUGUUCAGCACUUAUUCGAGAUCAGGCGAGCCUUGCAGACAGUCAGUGGUGUAGUAUUGCGCUUCGCUGCGUGCAACUUAUCUGAUGAAGUAAUCAUCAUGUAUCCAGCCAGUAAUCUUGAAUUAAUAAUGACUUGUAUUUGUACAACUCAGGUUUACCCACCAUCAUCCCAUCUUACAUUUCCUUGUUUUUGGUUAUCUUUUGACAUGUGGCGAGUGGCA